This 20-nucleotide non-coding RNA is filed under the name Rattus norvegicus (Norway rat). The record is from RNAcentral. Lineage: Eukaryota; Metazoa; Chordata; Mammalia; Rodentia; Muridae.
UUGAAUUUGUGGUAGUUUUA